UAACAAUUAUUUUUGUGAUGAUAUGUUAUGUAAGCUCCCUGGAUCACUUCAACCUAGAGAAAGCAUCAUCGUUAAUCUAACUAUUGUCAUGAAUAUUAAAGAUCUCCCCUUCAAGGAUCAUGAUGUAAUGAAAUAUAUGACCACGGCAACCGUUCUACAGCCCAGUCAUUUACUAUUUCUACCUUGGAAUGAAGAUAAAGAAGGACAGGUAUCGACCCCGAUAUUUAAAGAAUAUGGUAGUGCUGGUGUAAAUAUAUGGAUACCAAUCGGUAGUGUUAUAGGAGCUUUGUGUCUACUUGUUUUAUUGGCCAUUAUUCUUAGAAAGUGUGGGUUCUUUAAGAGGAAAAAGAAAGAUGCUCUACAGAAGUGGAAGAGAGAAAGUGGAUAUUACAAGAGAACGAGUUCUAGAAACCCUAACAACCAAACUUCAUAAAUAACAUUCUAGUGUAUUUAAUGUUUGAAUCAUCCAAAUUUUGAAUACAACAUUAAAUUCAUUUCAUGUUUGUGUAAAACUGCAAGCUCAUUUUCUAGAUAAUAUUAAAUUCACUGAUAAAUUUAUAAAUACUUAAAAGUUUAAACAGCCCACAGAAGACACCACUCUUAGUCUGCUGAGGGUAUUUACGUCUGAUUACGAGAUUAGUAGUUUGUGUUUCGACAAUUUAUAGAUAUAAGAUAAGUAGGUCCAAGUUUUUGUAUCAAUGCGCGAGGAGAUACAUUUUAAUUGGGAUAUAAACUAAUAUUUUAUAUUUUAUACCACUGGUAAUAAUCAAUAGACAAAACAUGAAAUAUAAAGAUGGCAGUAUUGUGGUUAUACUUGUAUAUCAAAUUUAAAUACAUUACUUAAGCAUCCAUAAUUUUAAAUACAUUACUUAAGCAUCCAUAAAUUUAAAUACAUUACUUAAGCAUCCAUAUUUAAAUACAUUACUUAAGCAUCCAUAAAUUUAAAUACAUUACUUAAGCAUCCAUAAAUUUAAAUACAUUACUUAAGCAUCCAUAUUUAAAUACAUUACUUAAGCAUCCAUAAAUUUAAAUACAUUACUUAAGCAUCAAUAUUUAAAUACAUUACUUAAGCAUCCAUGCAUAUCAAAUAUAAAUAAUUCAAACAUUCAUGAUAAAUAAAUUACACAUUUAUGUAUACCGGAUAUAAAUGAAUUAAACAUACAUGUAUAGCAAAUAUAAAUAAAUUAAACAUGCAUGUAUAUCAAAUCAACUAAAGUUACAUGUAAAUUAUAUAUAUACAUAAAUUAAACAUACAGGUGUAUCAAAUAUAAUUAAAUUAAACAUCCAUGGUACAAGAUAUAAAUUACUCAUAAUUAUAUAUGUUAUAAUAUAUACAUAAAUUACACAUAUGUAUGUUAUAAUAUAUACAUAAAUUACACAUAUGCAUGCAUAUUAAAUACAAAUCAAUUUAAACAUCCAUUUAUAUAAAAUAAAAACUUUGACUCGUCUUGUUCAUCACGGUUUAUAAAUAUCCACUAAACCACAAGGACCUGUAAAAUAACCACUACCUUAUUUGCAUUUGAUUAUCUCCCUUAUAUAAAUAUGCUAAAAACUAAAGGCAUAAUACAGAGUUAUAUAAAUGUUUAAUAUCACGUCUUCAUGUUUUAAUAAAAGCAAGAAGGUUUUAAAAUUUACUUUGUUAUAAUAUACCGCUUUUUUUUCUUAAAUGUAUAUAUAUCUAAUAAGAUGUAAAUAAUGAUAGUUUUUGUAAUUUUAUGUUUUUUUUAUAUUUUAUAAUGCAUGUGGUCGACGUAAUUAAAGCAAAAUAUUAUAUUUUAAAACUAAUAUAUCAAAUAUAAAUAAAAUACUCAUACGUGUAUAUCAAUUUUAACUAAAUUAACCAUCUAUGUGUAUCAAAUAUACUUAAAUUAAACAUCCAUAUAUAUCAAAUACACUUAAAAUAUAAAUAUAAAUAAAUCAAACAUCCAUGUAUAUCAAAUAUAAUUAAAUUCAACAUACAUGAAUAUGAAAUAUAAAUAAAUCAAACAUACAUGUAUACCAAAAUAAAAUAUACUGUUAAAUACUUUUCAAAGAGGCAUUAUCUAAGAAAUAAAUCUGAUUUUUUACGUCACAUGCUCAGUCCAUAAUAAACUCGCAUGACCAACGGGUGGCUUAGAUAUUGGGCUGGAAGUACAAUCCCCGCCAAAUAGUCGUUACACGAUAACAUGGACACUACUCACGGACAUUGUCGAUUGAAAAAUUGGAAAUCGGGACUUCGUUUAUUAUUGUGGCAUUGGUUCCUGACAAUCAAGACUGUUAUGCAUUUUCUUACCAACGCUUUCAAUCAUUCAAUACUUUGUUCAGAAUAAAGCAAUUUGGGCGCUUUGGGUUCAUUUUGAAUAUGAUCGUGUAUAAAAUUAGUUACGUUUAUUUCUUGUUAAAUAUGAUAAUUCCGCAUUAAAUAUUUUAACAGUAUUUUAAAGAUGGGUUCCCGCGUACAAACUGGGUGAUUUAAUGGUUUAAAUGGGCUAAAAACAUAUUUAAACUAAUUAAUUUGUCAUAACUUUGCUUCAAAUACUUCUGAAACAUUGUAAUUGCGAAGGAAUGUCCUGCCAUAAAAAUUCGACCAAACCAGGUCAUGUUUACGUCACGCGACUUACCUCUCUUGGAAGUCAGAGGAGAAUUUGUUGCAUACAUAAGACGAUGCUGUCUUUAAUCGCUUACUUUUUAUUACAAAUAUCGAAUCCUAAUUAAAUUCUCAGAUUAUCCACUACCCGCGUCUUUUUCCGUCAUUUUUAUCUCAGAAAGUGUUGUACGUCUAACUCUUCAUAAAGUUUAUCAACUUGUACAUCAAGCGCUCAAAGUUCGCAUGCAUGACCUUUGACAUGACAUUGAAAAAUGUUUAUUCACAAAUUUUUUAAAUACAAUAUCAUAUACAAUACAUAUAUGCAUUAGACUGUAUUCAUAUAUACAUUAAUAUACAACAUUGUGAAAUUGUUAAAAAGGAUUGAAAAUUGCGUAUGUACAUUUGAAAUAAAAACUUUUUUUUUUUUUUUUUUUUUUUUUUUAAGUCAAUGCUUAUCUCACCAUUUAAUCCUUGUUUAAUAAGAAAGGGUGGCUUAAUCGUCGGACUGUUGAUUAGGGAAACCCUUACAUUUUUGUGUCCUGUAUACGCUCUAUGAGUGUUUUUCGGUGAGAGAGAGAGAAAUGGGGUUUAACGUCCACUCGACACAAACUAGGUCAUUUCGGGACUAACAUAUGGUUUUUAAUUUUAUUUCAAUAAUUCGCUUGCGCGUAGGGGUCUUUAGCAGUGGGAGGAAACCGGAGGACCCGGAGAAAACCCACGAGGUUGGACAGGCGACCCUACACCUUGUCACGUACAACCGGGGAUUCGAAACCACGCCAGUUGACUCAAUGACAGGCCUUAUGAUACAGCACGCACGUGCUAACCAUUCGGCCACCCAACCCCCCGUUUGUCGGGGAAUCCAGUAUUUUUCUAGUAAAAUUGGAUAUCUCUGCUUUCCAUAUAUGCCAAAAUUGCCAUACUUUUAUUUGAAAUAACCACCCGAUAAAUACUUUUCUGGGAACCCAUCUUUAAACAGUAUUACAUCAACUAAACUAUAACAUUUAUGUAAUUGUUUCCUGUUCAUGUUUAAUUCUAGAUUUAUAUAACAAUGUUUAAUUCUAGAUUUAUAUAACAAUGUUUAAUUAUAGUUUUUUAUAACAAUGUUUAAUUCUAGAUUUAUAUAACAAUGUUUAAUUCUAGAUUUAUAUAUCAAUGUUUAAUUAUAAAAGCCGAUCAUGUAAUAAAAGGUGUAUUUCGCCAA
Patella vulgata (common limpet) is the source of this 3767-nucleotide long non-coding RNA. RefSeq lists it as uncharacterized. The record is from RefSeq and is a predicted model, not a curated record. NCBI's taxonomy places the organism in Eukaryota, Metazoa, Mollusca, Gastropoda, Patellidae. The transcript is spliced from 4 exons.